GGCACCGUGGCUUAGGUGGUUAAAGCGCCUGUCUUGUAAGCAGGAGAUCGCGAGUUCGAGUGUCGCCAGUGCCU
This 74-nucleotide transfer RNA is filed under the name Rhipicephalus microplus (southern cattle tick). RNAcentral's name for it is "tRNA-Thr". It matches the Rfam family "tRNA". From Rfam's summary of the family: Transfer RNA (tRNA) molecules are approximately 80 nucleotides in length. Lineage: Eukaryota; Metazoa; Arthropoda; Arachnida; Ixodida; Ixodidae. The record is from Rfam by way of RNAcentral.